UCUAAAAAUGGCUGGGUUAUUUUUUAACCCAAAAUGCUGGGUUGAGUCUGUUGGGUUGUUUUGCUGGGUUAUUUUUUUACAUUUUAAACACUUUUUGGGUAGUUUCAGUUUUCUAGGUGUUGGGUUAAAACUGCUGGGUUAUUAUGUUGGGUUGUUUGAAGAGGCUCACGUGCUUCGCGCCCUUGAUGUUUGAAUGUGCUCAGCAAUGGUCGUCGUGAAAGGACAGAGUCACUGAAGCAGUUGUUUCAAGAGUGUGCAGAGUUUUAACGUCCAUCCAUUGAUGAGGCUAGCAAGACCUUCAAACAACUUCAGCCAAUUGCAACAAAUGUGGUGGAAUUUCUUCUCUGGACAGAAUCCUCGAAACCCUUUCCUUUCGUCCUGGCCAUGGGAAACAUGCAGCAGACCUCUCAAUCUUUUUUCUCAAUCAGUCUCUCUGAAUACGGAAGUGACUUAAACUGCAAUUCGGCCAAGAUGGCGACGGCACGCACCGCCUACUUUAAGCUUCAAAAAUGCUCUUCACAAACCAAUGGGUGACGUCACAGACACUACUUGCAUAUUUUUUACAGUCUCUGGUUUAAAGGCAUGAUUUUACUUUUAAUUUAACAAUUACAUUGUUUCUUUUUUACACUGCUGUAGUUUUGUUUAUGUACAUUUCAGUAUUUCAUAUAUAUACUGUAAAAUUACAAAUUCUGUCUUAAAUUCAAACGAAUUGAUUCAACCUGUUACAUUGUUACUUCAAUGUGCAUAAUUUAUGAUAUUUUAUAAAUAUAUUUAUACUUGGGUCAGUAAGCAUUCCUUUAAAUGAUUUUGCAACUUACAACUGUAAAAAUGUAAGAGUUUGUAGUUAUUUUGCAAUCAAAUAAACAUUUAUUUGCUGUUA
This is a non-coding RNA of Misgurnus anguillicaudatus (oriental weatherfish), 880 nucleotides long. NCBI's taxonomy places the organism in Eukaryota, Metazoa, Chordata, Actinopteri, Cypriniformes, Cobitidae. The record is from RefSeq and is a predicted model, not a curated record.